Anguilla anguilla (European eel) is the source of this 564-nucleotide long non-coding RNA. RefSeq lists it as uncharacterized. The record is from RefSeq and is a predicted model, not a curated record. Lineage: Eukaryota; Metazoa; Chordata; Actinopteri; Anguilliformes; Anguillidae. The transcript has 3 exons.
UCUGAGUAAAGGAGAAACGUGGCUGAAGCAGCGUUUAGUGUUUAGCGUACCGUGUAUUCCCCCGGUUUCUCUGCCAAGUUUUCCCAUUAUUUUAUCGGUCUCGCGAAUCAGACUCGUUUGAUGUGAAACUUCGCUGAAAGUGGGGAUUAAGACGAAGCUCAGAACCGUGGCCAAUAUCGUUCGUCAGAGCUGCUCUGUUGCUCUCGUGAGAUACGCGGGUUCCCCGUACAAAACAUUAUAUUUGCUUUAAACGGCCAGACGUUUUUGAAAUGAAACGGCACACGUCCACUUUUAUAUUUUGGACUUAGCCGCGUAUUUGCGCUCUGAUUAUGACCGCCUUUGAAAGCGGAUUUACCAUGUAAUCACAAAAAAAGUCUAGAAGUGCAGCUGAUUGAGGGAUUGAGGCGGUGACCCUGACAGAGAAGAAUUAUGAACGAUGCGGCUGACCUGGAAAAGGUAACUGAACAAUGGACAAGCUGAUGGCAUCACAAUGCAGCGGCUCCUCAACUGUGGGUCGAGGGCCCACAGUACCGUUGGAUCAUGGGCGGCGGUGUCGUAUAAUGG